RNAcentral lists this ribosomal RNA (300 nucleotides) under uncultured Psychroflexus sp. RNAcentral describes it as "bacterial SSU rRNA". The stretch from base 65 to 300 matches the Rfam family "Bacterial small subunit ribosomal RNA", at positions 559 to 794 of the family's 1533-position model. Lineage: Bacteria; Pseudomonadati; Bacteroidota; Flavobacteriia; Flavobacteriales; Flavobacteriaceae. The record is from RNAcentral.
GGUGUGUGUUGUGCUUGGUGUGGAGGUGAGACGAGGGGGUCAGGCGUUAGUGGGAGUGGCGUGUCGUAAUGGUGGCGGCGGUGGUGGGUUAGGUCUGGUGGGAAAUCCCCGGGCUCAAUCUGGGAAUGGCAUUGGGUACUGGCUCGCUCGAGGGCGGUGGAGGGUGGUGGAAUUCCCGGUGUAGCAGUGAAAUGCGUAGAGAUCGGGAUGAACAUCUGUGGCGAAGGCGGCCACCUGGACCAGCACUGACACUGAGGCACGAAAGCGUGGGGAGCAAACAGGAUUAGAUACCCUAGUAGC